RNAcentral lists this microRNA precursor (61 nucleotides) under Pelobates cultripes (western spadefoot toad). Lineage: Eukaryota; Metazoa; Chordata; Amphibia; Anura; Pelobatidae. The record is from RNAcentral.
AAUAACGAAAGGUGAAGCGCUACAUACAAUUUGUAUGUAGCGCUUCACCUUUCGUUAUUUU